UUGUUUGUUAAGAUACAUCACGUUCAUUACACAGAGUAUUGUAAAGAUAUCAGCUGGCCACUGGGGCCCACCGACGGGUUCACAGGUGUGAGGAUAUGAGAUGUAGGCCUCUCGGCCAAAUCACUAAUGAUCCUUCCGCAGGUUCACCUACGGAAA
This 156-nucleotide unclassified non-coding RNA is filed under the name uncultured fungus. RNAcentral describes it as "sequence contains ITS1". The record is from RNAcentral. Lineage: Eukaryota; Fungi.